This 270-nucleotide ribosomal RNA is filed under the name uncultured archaeon. RNAcentral's name for it is "partial 16S ribosomal RNA". It matches the Rfam family "Archaeal small subunit ribosomal RNA", at positions 477 to 747 of the family's 1478-position model. The record is from RNAcentral.
CUGCAGCCCGAGUGGUGAUCGAUUUUAUUGAGCCUAAAGCGUCCGUAGCCGGACUAGUAAACCCUUGGGUAAAUUGGGCAGCUUAACUGUCCAAAUUCCGAGGGGACUGCUAGUCUUGGGACCGGGAGAGGUCAGAGGUACUCAAGGGGUAGGGGCUAAAUCCUGUAAUCCUUGGGGGACCACCAGUGGCGAAGGCGUCUGACUAGAACGGAUCCGACGGUAAGGGACGAAACCCUGGGGCGCGAACCGGAUUAGAUACCCGAGUAGUCC